This 2232-nucleotide long non-coding RNA is filed under the name Capsicum annuum. Its description in RNAcentral is "long non-coding RNA (CANN_LNC008932)". Lineage: Eukaryota; Viridiplantae; Streptophyta; Magnoliopsida; Solanales; Solanaceae. The record is from RNAcentral.
AACAGACCACAUACACGGACUGGUACCAAAAAAAAAAAAGAGAACAACAGUAACUCUCACCAAUAUACUACACACAAUCAUCUUCUCCACUAAGACACCAUACACGCACGCACACACAAUACACACGCAGAACACUGCACACACCCACCUUAAUUCUUCUUUUCAACACAACAAUAUUGACGUACACACAAAUAUCGCAGCGCACUGGAAAUCGGAGGGAUUUGAGCGUGAGAGAGGAGAGAAGACGUGAGAGAGAGAUUGAAAUCGAGGAGUGAGGUGGCCGGAGAAAACACGAAUCGAGAGAGAGAGUGAAAACAAGGAGAGAAAGAGGGAAAACUGGUGGUGGCUGACUUCUCCGGCGAUGUCUCGCCAGAAAGACGUUACUGCCGCUCGGAAUCUGAUCUAAUUCUCCUUUUUCUGUUCUUUUUGAGCUCGCCGGAGUUCCAUUAGCUCCGUCCCAUUUCGGGAAAUGCUGAAAUGAUGACAGUUACUCCAAUUUCGGUGAGAUUCAUACAAGGUUAGUUGGAAAUCGGUGAUUUGGGGUUUCGAAUUUGAAAUCUUGGGUUGUUUUUUAUUUCUAUUCGGGUUUGCGGGUCAUUCAUUGUGAGGCUUUUCGUCGUUUUCCAAAUCUAUCCGGUUGAAUUCGAUAUCGAGUUUGGAGUUGUUGGUUAUCGAGGUUCAAAUCAAGGCAUUUCGGAUGCGGUUCUAUCUCUGAUAUAAUGAAAUCAACACUUGAGGUCCAAUCCUUUUACUCCCUCUUUUCACUUCGUUUCGAUUUGGUGCAUUGAUGUUAUGAUUGGAUGAUCUUGUUGAUGUUCGAUAUUGUUUAUCCGUGAACAAUUAAUCAUGGUAUGAAUUUGAUGUUAGCAUAGGUUUGGAUAAUUGCUUUGUGUGAAAAUGGACGUAUAAGAGGGAAUUCGGGGCGGAAUUGAGAAAUUGAUAAAAAGGGUGAGUUUGGAUGAAUUAAGAUUCAUUGAUUUUGGUUUAAUUUGAUUUGAGCAUGAAUGUUGUUGGAACAUGAUAGUAUCAUGAUAGAAUGAAAUUGGUAGGCAAACGGCAGGCUGGGUAGGAAAAUUUAAGAAUAACAAUUUGUUGAGUGAUUGAAUGUGUGUGAAUGAUUUAUUCUAUUUUAUCGCACAAAAAUUGAAAUUGUACUCAUUUGGUCGGGGAAUGCCCCGAGGGAUUUGUAUUGAUGUAUCCGGGGAAUGCCACGAAGUAUGAUAUGCGCGAAGGAGGCUCGUGAUCAAGGCCCGAGUCAUCUAUAAGGCAUUGGACCGCAGUUUUAGGUUAGCUUAGAAUAGGAUUUAUAUUUUUCGCAUUUUUUCUAUUUUUGGACUAGACAUUAUAUAUUUUUGGGAUUCGUUUGCUUGUAUUUGUUUGUUUAGUUGUUGUGUGUUUAUGUGGUUUAUAUAUUCUUAGUGUCAAAAUUAGUCAAUACGCUUCACCAAGCGUUCGUGGUCGAACCACGGGAUCGAGGGGUGCCUAACACCUUUCCCUCGGUCAACAGAAUUCCUUAGUCAGAAUCUUUGUUUGCAAAAUGGUUUUAAAGAGUCAAAUCGUCUUGAAAAGGAUUUUCCAAAGGUGACUUGGCACACCGAAUUAUGUCAAGUGGCGACUCUGAGUUUAAAUGUAAGUAGUCCUUUUCAAAACAAAUCUUUAUUUUUGUCACUUUAAUAAUAAAACUUUUUCAAAGCUUAAAAUUUAUUCUUUUUGUCUUUAUCUUUGUCACUUUAAUAAUAAAACUUUUUCAAAGCUUAAAAUUUAUUCUUUUGGUAAAAAAGGAGUGUGACAACCCCAUUAAGCCAUUGUAAUUCUGUCUGAGCAGAAAUUCAACUCUCGUUUUUCUCCUUUUUUUGCUCUUUUUUCACAAUUGAGCUUUAGGGCACUUUGGGUCGUCUGUGGAAGAAGCUUCAUAACGCAUUAUGGAGGUGUCUGAAUCAUGAAUGGCUUGUAGUGUUGGAAAUUUGACUCGCGAGGAUACGUUCUAUGUGAAAACCGCACUCAAUUUAUCUCCAGAUCUACCCAGGUAUUAUUUCAAAAUCAGACCUUCAAUUUAGUUUCGUCACUUUUUACUUGUUUAGCGCAGUCUCACGAAAACUCUCAUAUCUUGACAUAGGAACAUCAAAAUCAGGAGCCGUUUUUUGCGUUGGAAACUAGACUUGUAGAUUUGCAUCUCCUGCAGAAACCAGCAUCAAAAUGCAUCUGAGUCAUCUCAGAUAUCGCUCCAAAAAU